CCACCCGUGGCACCGGCACCUGGGCCCGCUGCUCAAGCUUUCCCUUUCCCAUGCCCCGCGGCUACAGGUCCAGUCCCCCUAAGUGCCAACGCCGAGCACAACCGGCCCAGCCGUUGGCAUCUCCCUCCCCGAAGCCAUGGCCAUGGGGCGGCCCGUACGGCUUGUGCUGGAUGCCUCCCUCCUCCUCGAGCCCUCCGCCACCGGGGGGGGGGGGGGGGGGGGGAAGCGGCAGCUCUGCGGCCCGGGGCGGAGGUGCUUCUGCGGCGAUUGCGCUACUCCAACCUGACAGUGGCAAUCUGCUAUGUGGAGAGCAUGUCGAUUAAUGAGUCAGGCUUUCUUGAAAAGGUCGCAAGUUCACACUCCUUUGGAUGCAUGCCACUUCUUGUAAAAAGCGGGAAUUGUUCUCCAAACGAGUCAAUGUUGGAAUGGAGUCAAACAAGUUCUUGUUUUUAUGCCACUUCAAGAGCUCACAAAGGUUUAAUUUCUGAGCUUCAGAAUCACAACUGGAAAGUUGUUUCUGUAGGUAAUGAAGUUCCUGGGGUUUUAAAUGUCGGAAUGCUUCAGGAGUUGCUUCUCACUUUGGCUACUUUGAUAAAAAUAGAAAUAGGUGGCUCAUCUGUUCUGGUGAUUGGGUAUGUAAUGAAACAAUCCCGCGAGGUGGACUUUGCAAGGAGAGGAGCAUUUCCCAUAUAUCCUAGUAAGCACAGUCUUAUCUUUGUUCCUCUUUCAUUCGAACUUCCUCUAAGUUCACAAUUGCAAGAAGUUGAUAUGGUCCUCCACAAAAUAACUGAUGAGAUUGUCAAGAUUGAUCCAAACUGCUCCACUGAUUUUCCAAAAGGCAUUUCAUUUUCUGCAGGAAUGUCUGAAAUCAUAAGGUUUGUGGAAGAGCACCCUGAUUUUUGCAUCAUCGAUCCAUUUAAAAAUAUUUACCCGUUGCUUGAUCGUCUUCAAAUCCAAAAUAUCCUAGUCCGAUUAAAAGAACUUGGCACUGAAGGAAAGCCAAAACUUCGAGCACCAUAUUCUUUGAAGGUUGAUAACUUUCAUGAUGGUGAAUUAGAUAAGCAUCUAGCAGAAGCUAAUUUGUCAUUCCCACUCAUUGUGAAACCACAAGUAGCUUGCGGAGUUGCUGAUGCCCACAAUAUGGCAUUAGUUUUUCAAAUUGAAGAACUUAGCAACCUUGGUGUGCCUCUUCCAGCGGUGCUACAGGAAUAUGUCGAUCAUGGAUCCAAGAUUUUUAAAUUUUAUGUAAUUGGAGACAAAGUUUUCCAUGCGAUUAGGAAUUCAAUGCCUAAUGCAAGUUUUCUGAAGUCAUCAUCAGGAGGAGAACCUCUUACAUUUAAUAGUUUGAAGACUCUUCCGGUGGCUACUAAGGAGCAGCAACUGCAAGCGAGCAUGCGAGACAGCAAAUCAGUGGAUGCUGAUUUAGUAGAAGAGGCUGCAAAAUUUCUGAAGGGAUUGCUUGGACUAACGAUUUUUGGAUUCGAUGUUGUCGUUCAGGAGGGCACCGGAGACCAUGUCAUAGUGGACCUAAACUAUCUCCCAUCCUUCAAAGAAGUUCCUGAUUCUGAGGCGGUGCCUGCGUUCUGGGAUGCAAUCAGGCAGGCAUACGAGUUGAAGAGUGGGAAGGCGCAAACUUAGUUCAUGGCUUCCCAAUGAUUGAAUCUGCUAAGAGCCAAAUGUUGCAGCCUUGCAGGAGAGUUUGUGAAUUGCACUGUCGCAGGCAGAGUGUUCACUGAAUGUAAUGAUUCUAGAGCAAGCACGAAGUAGUAAUGUUUAGCUCCACUUGUGGCCAAGUGGGAAUAAGUGAAGAUGGAUAGCGUAAUAAUGAACAGAAUGAACAAACCAAACUGUGUUAUUUUAAUCUCAUCCUUUCUGUGCACUUCGUGUCA
Panicum virgatum (switchgrass) is the source of this 1889-nucleotide RNA transcript. It is a transcript of the gene named inositol-tetrakisphosphate 1-kinase 6-like, with no coding region annotated. The transcript is spliced from 12 exons. NCBI's taxonomy places the organism in Eukaryota, Viridiplantae, Streptophyta, Magnoliopsida, Poales, Poaceae. The record is from RefSeq and is a predicted model, not a curated record.